GAAGAAGAUACUAAGGGCGCACGGCGGAUGCCUUGGCACAGGAAGUCGAAGAAGGACGCGGCAAGCUGCGAUAAGCUCCGGGGAGGCGCAAACGGCCUUCGAUCCGGAGAUCUCCGAAUGGGGGAACCCAGCAGGGGUCAUGCCCUGCUACCCGCGCCUGAAUGAAAUAGGGCGCGAGGAGGCAACCCGGGGAACUGAAACAUCUAAGUACCCGGAGGAAGAGAAAUCAACCGAGAUUGCGGGAGUAGCGGCGAGCGAAACCGCACCAGCCCAAACCCAUGCACGUGCAAGCUUGAGGGCGUUGCUGCAUGAGGGGUUGUGGGACCGCGCAUUCCAUGGGCCUCAGACCAUGGACGCAGUUACAAAUCCGCGCGGAAGCGGAACGGCCUGGGAAGGCCGGCGGAACAGGGUGAGAGCCCCGUACGCGAAUCCGCGCGGACUGCGAGUGCGGCGCCCGAGUAGCGCCGGGCACGUGAAACCCGGUGCGAACCUGGGGGGACCACCCUCCAAGGCUGAACACUCUCCUGUGACCGAUAGCGAACCAGUACCGUGAGGGAAAGGUGAAAAGCACCCCGAGAGGGGAGUGAAACAGUACCUGAAACCGUGCGCCUACAAGCAGUCGGAGCCCCCGAGCGGGGUGACGGCGUGCCUUUUGUAGAAUGAGCCAGCGAGUUGCGGUAUGCGGCGAGGUUAAGGUUUGAACCGAGCCGCAGUGAAAGCGAGCCUUUAAGAUGGCGAUAGAGUCGCAUGCUGCAGACGCGAAGCCGGGUGAGCUAUCCAUGGGCAGGCUGAAGCGGGGGUAAGACCCCGUGGAGGGCCGAACCCACUUCGGUUGAAAACGGAGGGGAUGACCCGUGGAUAGGGGUGAAAGGCCAAUCAAACCCGGAGAUAUCUCGUUCUCCCCGAAAUAGCUUUAGGGCUAGCCUCGGCCGUUCUCCGACGGCGGUAGAGCACUGGAUCGUCGAGGGGGCUUCACCGCCUACCGACACGAACCAAACUCCGAAUGCCGCCGGAUCAGAGGCCGGGAGUCAGAACAUGUGGGCUAAGCUGUGUGUUCGAGAGGGAAACAGCCCAGACCGCCCGCUAAGGUCCCCAAGUUUAUGCUGAGUGGCAAAGGAUGUGCGUUUGCCUAGACAACCAGGAUGUUGGCUUAGAAGCAGCCAUGCAUUUAAAGAGUGCGUAACAGCUCACUGGUCAAGUGGACAUGCGCCGACAAUUCACGGGGCUAAGCAUAACACCGAAGCGGCGGACUAAUCUAUAUUAGUGGUAGGGGAGCUUUCCCCGCAGCGGAGAAGCCGAGAGGGCGACCCUCGGUGGAGCGCGGGGAAGUGAGAAUGCUGGCAUGAGUAACGAGAGCGGCGCGAGAAACGCCGCCGCCGUAAGCCUAAGGGUUCCUGGGCAAGGCUAAUCCUCCCAGGGUCAGUCGGGAGCUAAGGCGAGGCCGAGAGGCGUAGCCGAUGCGCAACAGGCGGACAUUCCUGUACCGCCUGCGGACCGCUAUCACCGACGGGGUGACGGAGAAGGGUAGCCGAGCGGGGUUCUGGACGUCCCCGUGAAAGCGCGUAGGGAGCAUCGCAUGGAAAUCAGCGGCGCAUAUAUCCUGAGACGCGAGACGAAAGCUUAUGCUGAAGUCGGCGAGCCCAUGCUUCCGAGAAAAACCUCUAGGAAGGGACGCAGGCGCCCGUACCAAAACCGACACAGGUGGGCAGGUAGAGCAUACCGAGGCGAUCGGGAGAACCAUGGUUAAGGAACUCGGCAUACUGACUCCGUAACUUCGGGAGAAGGAGUGCCCCUGGCGGUGACGGGACUAGCUCCCCGAGCGGCCGGGGGUCGCAGCGAAACGGCCCAAGCGACUGUUUAUCAAAAACACAGGACUCUGCAAAGCCGUAAGGCGACGUAUAGGGUCUGACGCCUGCCCGGUGCUGGAAGGUUACGCGGAUGGGUCAGCCGCAAGGCGAAGCUCUGAAGCCAAGCCCCAGUAAACGGCGGCCGUAACUAUAACGGUCCUAAGGUAGCGAAAUUCCUUGUCGGGUAAGUUCCGACCUGCACGAAUGGCGUAACGAUUUGGGCGCUGUCUCAACCAUGGACCCGGUGAAAUUGUAUUAUUCGUGAAGAUGCG
This 2119-nucleotide ribosomal RNA is filed under the name Paraclostridium sordellii. Its description in RNAcentral is "partial 23S ribosomal RNA". It matches the Rfam family "Bacterial large subunit ribosomal RNA", at positions 1 to 2063 of the family's 2925-position model. The record is from RNAcentral. Lineage: Bacteria; Bacillati; Bacillota; Clostridia; Peptostreptococcales; Peptostreptococcaceae.